AAAGUCGUAACAAGGUUUCCGUAGGUGAACCUGCGGAAGGAUCAUUAACACUUUUAUGUGCUACUCUAAACAAACCCGGUCACCAAACCCUGCUCGUGGGUUAGCGAAGAACAAGAUUCGAGAUGGGGGAACUCCCCUGUCUCGCUUUGAGCUCUUUCUAGCUUCGCGAGGAUAAACAAAUCAACCCUAUUUUAACCUUUAUUUUCUUCAACACUAACCUUCAUUUGCUGGUCUUCAUGCCAGUGAAUUAACAAAACGCGAACAACUCUUAGCAGUGGAUAUCUUGGUUCUC
This 292-nucleotide unclassified non-coding RNA is filed under the name Ascomycota sp. RNAcentral's name for it is "partial contains small subunit ribosomal RNA, internal transcribed spacer 1, and 5.8S ribosomal RNA". The stretch from base 1 to 47 matches the Rfam family "Eukaryotic small subunit ribosomal RNA", at positions 1785 to 1831 of the family's 1831-position model. The record is from RNAcentral. Lineage: Eukaryota; Fungi; Ascomycota.